This 1324-nucleotide long non-coding RNA is filed under the name Anas platyrhynchos platyrhynchos (common mallard). RNAcentral's name for it is "lncRNA (ENSAPLG00000016529.1)". Lineage: Eukaryota; Metazoa; Chordata; Aves; Anseriformes; Anatidae. The record is from RNAcentral.
AUGUCACCAAAGGGGACAGGACCCGGAGGGGGUCCCCGAGUUGUGGGGACCCCAAUAACCCGCCCUGUCACCCCAAAACAGCCUCAGAGCCCCCCCAAAGCGCAAUGGGGUUUGUCACUUGUCCCCAAAACCCCACAGCCCCCCCCCGUGUCACCCCAAAUUAUAGGGGACAGGGCUGGUGGCAUGUCCCCAAAUCAAAGGGACCCCAAAUGUCACCCCAGGGGACCCCAAAUGUCACCUUGGGGGUGUCCCCAAGGCCAGGGGACCCCAAAUGGCACCCCAGGGGACCCUAAAUGUCACCCUAAGGCACAGGACAUCACCUAGAGGGUGCCCCCAAACUUAGGGGACCCCAAAACCACCCGAGAGACAAGAACAGGGGGGUCCCAAACUUUGGGGACACCCCAAUCUCUGCCACAAGGUCCCUAAAAUGUCCCCAAACCCUAAAAGACCCCCCCACGGUGCCUAGAGGUAGCACCCCCGACCCUAUUUUGCCACAAAUCAGCCCCAAAACCACCCCCGAACCCCGUUUUUUUGGGAAAAAAACAGCGGGGGCAGAGCCCUGACCCUAUAAACGACCCCAAAAAGGGGGACGCUCACCUCCCGAGGGUCCCGGCGGCUGCCCCUGGAGGUUCCCCAGCAGAUGUUUGAUUUUCUCCGAAUAAUCCGGCUGCUUCAACAGCUCCUCCGUCUUGUGGUUAUUAGGACCACCCUAUAGGAUCGGGAAGAAAAAAAACCCUAAAUCAACACGGAACCGUUUAAAAACCCCCCAAAACCCCUUUUCCAACGCCGCCGCCGCCGCCCCCUCCCCCUUUUUUUGGUUUGGGUUUUUUUUUGGGGUGUCGUUACCAUGAUGGAGGUGAGGAUCUCCUGCAUGUUGAUGGGGGCGGGGGGCGCCGGGCCCUGCGGGGUCUUGCCCGCCCCCAUACUCCCCAUCAGGUUGGCCAGCACCGGGGGGAGCUUGGAGCCCCCCGGGGCAUCCGGGGCCGGCGAGGAGGAGGCUCCGGGCGAGGGUCCGUCGGGGUAGGAGGCCUCCUCGGCGGAGCAGUCCUGGGGAGGGCAGAGAUUUGGGGGGGUUUUAGGGGGUUUUGGGUUUUUUUUUUUGGUUUGGGGGUUUUUUUUUUUAGGGGGGGGGGGCCCUGUUUUGGCGGCGCGGCGGGGAGCGGUGGGGGUCGGGGGGGCUUACCUCGUCCAGAGGGAUCAGCUUGGGGGGCAGCGGUUCGUAGGGUUCCAGGUCGGGUUCGUGGGGGCUGUCCGGGACCCUAUAAAGGGGGGGAAAAGGGGCGUUAGAUUCCCCAGUGGAUCACUUCGGUGGAUCCCAAGUAGC